Microcebus murinus (gray mouse lemur) is the source of this 766-nucleotide non-coding RNA. Lineage: Eukaryota; Metazoa; Chordata; Mammalia; Primates; Cheirogaleidae. The record is from RefSeq and is a predicted model, not a curated record.
GAGAAGAUUCCAGAACUCUCUUUAAGUCUUGACUCUGAUACAAGCUGGGAGACCACCCUCCAGCCCCUCUCGCCGUCCCACUGGACUCCGUGUGAGGGGCCAGCUUUGGAGCGGCUGCACAGGGGCUCCCAAAGACACCCCCAAAGCUUCACGACACACGCGCAAGAAGCAGACCUUGGCUGUCCCAUUACUGGAGCCAGAUAUCACAGAAAAGUGACCCGGAUUUGGAGGCAGAAGAUUCAGGACCAAAUGCCACUUGCUGUGUGUGGCAGUCAUGUGCCUGCUUGGGGCCUCAGUUUCCCCUUCUGCAAACUACGGGAUGAAGGUGAAGAUCCCCAUCGCGCAUGUGUGAGUCAGUCCGGGCCGCUGUAACAAGGCACCGUAGACUGGCUUACACAGACGCGGAAACUCACUCCGCGCCGUCCCGGAGGCUGAAAGUCUGCCAUGGGGCGCCGCACAGUUGCGUUCCGCGGAGGGCUGUCUUCGGGACUGCAGACUGCUGCCCUCGCACUGUGUCCUCUCUGGUGGGAGGAGAGCUAGAGAGCCUCUUUGGGGUCCCUUUUGUGAGGGCACUAAUCCCAUUCGUGGGGCUCGCCCUCAUCUCAUGACCUAAUCGCCUCCCAAAGGCCCUACCUCCCAACACCAUCACACCGGGAUUAGGGUUUCAGCGUAAGAAUUUUGGGGGACACACACACGUUCAAUCCAAAGCACCACCUUUAACCAUUCUUUAACAAACAGUUUUAAUAGAACAAUUUGGGGAAAUCAA